This 61-nucleotide small RNA is filed under the name Arabidopsis thaliana (thale cress). RNAcentral's name for it is "ATSL251340". The record is from RNAcentral. Lineage: Eukaryota; Viridiplantae; Streptophyta; Magnoliopsida; Brassicales; Brassicaceae.
GGGAGUUUACGAGGGCCUGUCUAGCCUGUCUCGUAAGGAAUCACGCUAUGUUGGACUUAGG